CAAUCCGCGGGGAGCUGUAUGAAGGGUGGGGAAACUUUGAAAAUUGGAUGCUGCAGACCCGUUUUCUAUUUUGCUGCAGCAGAAGGCAUGAGUAGCAGGAAACUAAGACGAGUCGGGUUAUCAGAAGAGCUGUGUGACCGUCUGAACAGAUACCAGAUUGUUACCUGUCAGGAUUUUUUAUGUCUUUCCCCACUGGAGCUUAUGAAGAUGACUGGCCUUAGUUAUCAUGGUGUCCAUGAACUUCUCUGUACGGUCAGUAGGGCCUGUGCCCCACAAAUGCAAACGGUUUAUGGGAUGAAGACACAAAGGUGUGCUGCUCCCUCACCAGCAUUCUUAGCUACAACCCUUUCUGCACUAGAUGAAGCCCUGCGUGGUGGUGUGGCUUGUGGAUCCCUGACAGAGAUUACAGGGCCACCAGGUUGUGGAAAAACUCAAUUUUGUAUGAUGAUGAGCAUUUUGGCUACAUUGCCCACCAACAUGGGAGGAUUAGAAGGCGCUGUUGUGUACAUUGACACAGAGUCAGCAUUUAGUGCUGAAAGACUGGUUGAGAUUGCAGAAUCUCGUUUUCCUAGAUACUUUAACAAUGAAGAAAAAUUACUUUUGACAAGCAGUAAAGUUCAUCUUUAUCGGGAGCUCAGCUGUGAUGAAGUUCUACAAAGGAUUGAAUCUUUGGAAGAAGAAAUUAUUUCAAAAGGAGUUAAACUUGUGAUUAUUGACUCCAUUGCUUCUGUAGUAAGAAAGGAGUUUGAUACACAACUUCAGGGGAACAUGAGAGAAAGAAACAAGUUCUUGGCAAGAGAAGCAGCUUCCUUGAAGUAUUUGGCAGAGGAAUUUUCAAUCCCAGUUAUCUUGACGAAUCAAAUUACAACCCAUCUGAGCGGAGCCCCAGCUUCUCAGGCAGACCUGGUGUCUCCAGCUGAUGAUUUGUCCCUGUCUGAAGGCACUUCUGGGUCCAGCUGUGUGACAGCUGCCCUAGGAAACACCUGGAGUCACAGUGUGAACACCCGGCUGAUUCUCCAGUUCCUUGGUUCAGAGAGAAGACAGCAAACAAAGGGAACCCACUUGAGAAUGGCAAUGAAGUCAACCCAGAGGGAAACAAAAUGAAGAGACUGAGAGAGACUGUUUCAUGGGGGAGAAAGGGAAGUUCUCAGGUCAUCAUUUGAGGCCCUGGAUCCAACUGUGCCUGAGAUUCUCAUUGCCAAGUCCCCUCUGGCUCCCUUCACCUCCUUUGUCUACACCAUCAAGAAGGAAGGCUUGGUUCUUCAAGGCCAACAGAGGCCAUAGGGACACUGUGACCUUUGUCUAGAGCUGAUGGGGGCAUGAUUUGUGAAAUGAAGCAGGAACAUGCUGUUUGGAAGAAGGAAAUGGAAGUGAACAUAAUGGGGAUUAAUUAGUUGAUCGCUGUUGAGAUGGUAACAGGUUUGCCCCCAUACCCCUGAGCCAGCCAUCUCAGGGAAGGUGAAGGUGAAGAAGCCUUUGUUUGGGCCUCUAGAUGCGUGGGGGUGAAGGCUUUGCUGCCCUGGGAUGUCAACAGCCAUAAUAAUAAUAAUUUGCACCCACAUAGCACCUUUCAACCAGGCACCUCAAAGUAGUUUAACCACUUUAAUUAAUUAAAGCCCACAGUCCCCCUGGGGAGAGGAGGAGGAGGACUAACAGGAUUUGUAAUUACAGGAGGGAACAUUUCCAAAUAAAGUAUUGUCCACCAAAUAAAAAGAGUAGGUGCAAAGGAAUUGGGGUCUCCAAAGACUAACUGCUUCAGAAAAGAAAUCACGGAAAGGUGGGGGAGGUUGGGCACCAGCAUGGGGGUCUGCUCUUGUGUCAGAGGGAGGCCGAUGGGCUCGGAAUUCACGGACAGAUUUGGAUCCAGCUGGGAAGCAGAACAUGUAUAGUGUUAGUGGCAUUAAGAAGGUCAUUAGUGGCAUAACUGUUGUGGUGUAAAUUCAGGUUUCACCAGUAUAUUGUGUAUAGCCCUGGAGAACAAAGAGUGAGAUGCAUGCAAUAUUUAAUAAGGGAUGAAAUGAUUUCCUUAGAUUGAAAGCCCAAAGCUGGGCCAGUCAAUUAGUGAAUAAAUCAAUUGAUGACCCAUGGGAUAAUUUAGUCAUUUCCAGCAGAACAGCAAGCCUACCCGCUCCUACCAUCAUGAGGUCUCCAGCCAAAUCUGGAGCUUCAAGGCUGGGGGCUUCAGAGCCCCUUCAAAGCCAAGCAUCAAAUCUUCCAGCCUUUGGCAUUGGGACCCCUCAUACCCAAGUUGUUAGUGACCCCCAAAUUGUCCUCUGUAGAACCACUUUGUGGUUCCCCCUUCGGAGGUUUUUUAAUGCCUUGGGGCCUAGAAUCAACUCUUCUCCCAUCACGUAUCUCUAUCAGUGCCCAAGAGAUGCUGUGCACGAAGUAGGUACAAAACAGUAAAUGACUAAGUCCUUUAAACAGCUCAGUGUUUGAUGAGCACAUACUGGGUACAGAGGCAAAACUCAAAAAACAGAAUGUGUGCCCAGUCCUCAAGAACUAUAUUACAAGGAAUGGAAAAAACUCAUACACUACUAGUGUAUAAAACAGUGACCUGAUAGAUGUGCAUCCAAGCUGCAUGCUGCAGGGGCCAGAGGAGGAACAUUUCAUUCAUCUGCAGUGACUCAGGGAAGGUAUUCCUGGGAGCAAACAAUGCGCUGGACAUUGGGAGGUGAAGAGGAUUCUGGUUGACCUGGAAGGGGAGGGAGAUGCAGACUUUCCAAACAGGUCCUUUGUCUCUCUCUGCUUGAGGUGCAUUUUGAGAACUUGUGAUCAUCAAUAUAGACCACUUGUUCAGAAAAAUAAGCUGAGUUUUUGCAGCUGAUUAAAUGUAUGUUUCCUAUGAACUCUUA
RNA transcript from Manis pentadactyla (Chinese pangolin), 2855 nucleotides. It is a transcript of the gene named RAD51 paralog B, with no coding region annotated. The transcript has 12 exons. The record is from RefSeq and is a predicted model, not a curated record. NCBI's taxonomy places the organism in Eukaryota, Metazoa, Chordata, Mammalia, Pholidota, Manidae.